AAGUUUUCUCCUCGACUUGCCAAGCACUUCUGAAUCAAAAGACACGUUUCAGGUGAAAUACACACACACAUUUCCAGAACCGCUCGUCCCAAUGCGGGGUCGCGAGGAGCCGGAGCCUACCCGGCAACACAGGGCGUAAGGCCAGAGGGGGAGGGGACACACCCAGGACGGGACGCCGGGACGCCAGUCCGCCGCAAGGCACCCCGAGCGGGACUCGAACCCCAGACCCACUGGAGAGCAGGACCCGGUCCAACCCACUGCGCCGCCACCACACCCCCUCAGACAGGGGCUGUUGGAUCUUCGUUCACACUCCCUCUGCCUCUCGUGUUCCCUGGGUCCAUUAAACAUUCCGCUGUUUCCCUACAGCGUCACCUACAGGAUGUCACGAGCACUGUGGAGAACGCUGUGGGGAACACUGGGGAAGAUCCAGCAGCUCCUAUUGUGACAGGGUGAGGAUCCGAUCAAAGACAGUUCCGUUUGGCAUUUUGAAUUUGUGACUAUGCCAUUUGGUUUCCUUGAGGCACCGCAGUGAUGACUAGAAGAGGUGAGUAGGACCAUCCUAUUGCCAUACGACGCAGUUCGACGCAGAGCCACACCCCGUGACAUGAUCGUCAUGACAACGGGGGGACGGUCGAAGAUCCCUUUAAGGAAAGCAGCCAAAUGUAGUUGGUCAUUUCAGAAACGACUAGUUGCGGGGUCACCAGUUCCAGGAAGAAUUGCCUUUACUUGUGAUAAUUAAUAGCUGAAUAUGUGCAGUUUGAGGACGGAGCUGCUUGCAGGUGUGAAAUAAGUUUUAAUUGGACUGAAGCUGGCAUUGGUCUAACCUUUACUCAUGAACUCCCACAGAUGAAUCUCUUUAAUGAGGAGAAACAGUGGAUGCAGGGGAUGCAGAGGG
RNAcentral lists this long non-coding RNA (895 nucleotides) under Scleropages formosus (Asian bonytongue). Its description in RNAcentral is "lncRNA (ENSSFOG00015030255.1)". Lineage: Eukaryota; Metazoa; Chordata; Actinopteri; Osteoglossiformes; Osteoglossidae. The record is from RNAcentral.